Molecule: ribosomal RNA, 206 nt
Filed under: uncultured bacterium
Lineage: Bacteria
Description: partial 16S ribosomal RNA
Rfam family: Bacterial small subunit ribosomal RNA
Source: RNAcentral
AGCGCAGGCGGGAAGGUAAGUCUAUCUUAAAAGUGCGGGGCUCAACCCCCGUGAGGGGAUAGAAACUAUUUUUCUUGAGUGCAGGAGAGGAAAGCGGAAUUCCUAGUGUAGCGGUGAAAUGCGUAGAUAUUAGGAGGAACACCAGUGGCGAAGGCGGCUUUCUGGACUGUAACUGACGCUGAGGCUCGAAAGCCAGGGGAGCGAAG